Drosophila montana is the source of this 363-nucleotide long non-coding RNA. RefSeq lists it as uncharacterized. Lineage: Eukaryota; Metazoa; Arthropoda; Insecta; Diptera; Drosophilidae. The record is from RefSeq and is a predicted model, not a curated record. The transcript has 2 exons.
CCCACCCCCACCCCCACCGCCGACAACGAAAAGGCCGACGACAACGACAACAAAGAAGACAAUGGAACACGAUAGUGACUCUUCUGAGGAAUCUGAUUAUACAGAAGAAAGUUAUUCGAUGUCGGAUUAUUAUUAUAUGGAUGAUAUAUAGCCAUUUGGACGAAAAACUAACUUACUUUAAGUUUUGGAUUAUAGACAACAACAAAUUUAUAAAAUUGAGGCGACCCUAACACUGUAUCCAGGAAAAGAUGACAGAAGAUGAAGACUAAUAUUGAUUAUAAUGGCAGCUACAAAAGACAAAUCGUGUGAUUUUCAAACCUUAAAAAUAUCGUGCCACCUAUAAUAAAAAUCGUAUCUAAAAUA